CUAGUACGGGAGGCAGCAGUGGGGAAUCUUCCACAAUGGGCGAAAGCCUGAUGGAGCAACGCCGCGUGAGUGAAGAAGGUCUUCGGAUCGUAAAGCUCUGUUGCACGGGACGAAAACCGGGUUUGAAAACAUUGAGCCCGGGUGACGGUACCGUGCGAGGAAGCCACGGCUAACUACGUGCCAGCAGCCGCGGUAAUCUAG
RNAcentral lists this ribosomal RNA (201 nucleotides) under uncultured bacterium. RNAcentral describes it as "partial 16S ribosomal RNA". It matches the Rfam family "Bacterial small subunit ribosomal RNA", at positions 335 to 530 of the family's 1533-position model. The record is from RNAcentral.